RNAcentral lists this ribosomal RNA (208 nucleotides) under uncultured bacterium. RNAcentral's name for it is "partial 16S ribosomal RNA". It matches the Rfam family "Bacterial small subunit ribosomal RNA", at positions 568 to 774 of the family's 1533-position model. The record is from RNAcentral.
CACGUAGGCGGAUUAGUCAGUCAGAGGUAGAAAUCCCAGGGCUCAACCCUGGAACUGCCUUUGAUACUGCUAGUCUUGAGUUCGAGAGAGGUGAGUGGAAUUCCGAGUGUAGAGGUGAAAUUCGUAGAUAUUCGGAGGAACACCAGUGGCGAAGGCGGCUCACUGGCUCGAUACUGACGCUGAGGUGCGAAAGCGUGGGGAGCAAACA